This 272-nucleotide long non-coding RNA is filed under the name Homo sapiens (human). Its description in RNAcentral is "HSALNT0296568". Lineage: Eukaryota; Metazoa; Chordata; Mammalia; Primates; Hominidae. The record is from RNAcentral.
GUGUGAAGCCCGCUUGGAGAAGAGGAGGAGGCUGAAAAGAAGGCAAAGAGUGAAGAUAGAGAAACAAGAUGGAAGUGGGGGAGAAAAACAGGGAUGAGAGAAUGCCAUGGUGGUGCUGAGAAGGAAAGGAGAGACUUUUCUGCUUGUAAAGGGCAGAAGAUGGCAGAAUCCAGUGACGCAGGGGCAUCUGGCUCCAGAAAUAAUAGGUCACUUGGCACCCACUUCUUCAAAACAAAGUGGAAAAAUAAGAGGAAGGGUGCCUUAACAAUGAC